Papaver somniferum (opium poppy) is the source of this 72-nucleotide non-coding RNA. The record is from the annotation of a RefSeq genome assembly. Lineage: Eukaryota; Viridiplantae; Streptophyta; Magnoliopsida; Ranunculales; Papaveraceae.
GCCCUUAUAGCUAAGUGGUUGAGCGUCAGUCUUGUAAACUGAAUAUCCGCAGUUCAAUCCUGCGUGAGGGCA